RNAcentral lists this ribosomal RNA (460 nucleotides) under uncultured bacterium. RNAcentral's name for it is "partial 16S ribosomal RNA". It matches the Rfam family "Bacterial small subunit ribosomal RNA", at positions 338 to 795 of the family's 1533-position model. The record is from RNAcentral.
CCUACGGGAGGCAGCAGUGAGGAAUAUUGGUCAAUGGACGAGAGUCUGAACCAGCCAAGUAGCGUGAAGGAUGACUGCCCUAUGGGUUGUAAACUUCUUUUAUAUGGGAAUAAAAUGUUCCACGUGUGGGAUUUUGUAUGUACCAUAUGAAUAAGGAUCGGCUAACUCCGUGCCAGCAGCCGCGGUAAUACGGAGGAUCCGAGCGUUAUCCGGAUUUAUUGGGUUUAAAGGGAGCGUAGGUGGAUUGGUAAGUCAGUUGUGAAAGUUUGCGGCUCAACCGUAAAAUUGCAGUUGAAACUGGCAGUCUUGAGUACAGUAGAGGUGAGCGGAAUUCGGGGUGUAGCGGUGAAAUGCUUAGAUAUCACGAAGAACUCCGAUUGCGAAGGCAGUUCACUGGACUGCAACUGACACUGAGGCUCGAAAGUGUGGGUAUCAAACAGGAUUAGAUACCCGUGUAGUC